Molecule: long non-coding RNA, 3473 nt
Organism: Panicum virgatum (switchgrass)
Lineage: Eukaryota; Viridiplantae; Streptophyta; Magnoliopsida; Poales; Poaceae
Exons: 3
Source: RefSeq, a predicted model, not a curated record
CCAUUCUCGUCAGCGUUUCACACAGCAAGUGUUUCGUCAGCUUUUCACAUUGCAGCUGUGCACGUGAACACGUGUUCACACCGAAUUUUACCGCACCACGCCAUCCUGCUCGCUUACCUCUGGCGCCAUGGCUCCCCGCGCCACGCUCCUGCUCUUCCUCCUCGUCGGGCUGCUCGUCGUCCACCUUUUGACCUUUGUUUCACUGCGACGCACACUACACAGUGCAUUUGUGUUCACACGACUCUCCACAUCUUCUUCAGUCCCGCAAUCCUGUAGCGCGUGGAGCGCCCAUGAAAGCAUGCAGUCUCUGCUCUUUUUGUCCGUGUUCAUGCUGAUCUCUUUGUCAUCCCGUUCAUACUGAAACUCGCCGUCCUCUCCUUGCUCUUCAUCUACCACCCCUCGCCGCAUUCGUUGCUUCGUGCUCGUCGUGCCCGUGAUCUUCGCGGCCGGCUCCCCAAGCGUUCCAGAGCAUGAACGACGUUUUUCCCCACACCUCUCGGCCUCUGGUUUUCCCUCAGAUCCAUCCAGUGCAGUGCAGGCAUCGGCGGCGGCGCUUCGCAGGCCCCGGCUCCUCCCUCGCGGCCGGCUAGGCGGCAGCCAUCGCUCCUGACGUGCGUCCUCCUCCCUCACGUCGUCGUCGUCACCGCCGCCCGUCCCCUUCCCCACACCGCGCCACUGCUACCGUCCGCACCCUUCCCCCCGCACCGCCGUCGCAGCCACAGCCCGCACCACCGCUGGCACCUGUGCGGCUCGCCGCGGCGAGGCACGGGUAGCCCCGCCGUUUCCACCAAACACCGCCUCCUACCGUCCCGUCCUUCCACGCCUUGCCCGAGUUCUUGGCAGUGGCGGCGCGCACGGCGCUGGUGACGCUGCUGCUCGCCAACGGCGCCGCCUUUUGCCUCGUCGCCGCCGCCGCCGUGCGCCUCCGCCUCGACCCGCCCUGCAUCAUCUGCGCCGGCGUCCACUGCCCUGCACCGCCUCCACUCUGGCCGCAGCGUCAUCGGUGUCGGCCGCAGCGUCCAUCGAUUUGCAGAUGCCGAUGAGCAGGGCGCCAUCACUGGCAUCCGUCCUAGCGACCUCGACGGCCUCUAGGACAAGACUUCCGCCACCCGUAGGAGCCGCCACGCCACCUCCUGCGCUCCUCCGUCACGGCGGCUGCCUCUCUACUACGAAGUUUCAUAGGCCCGUCACACCCAUACUGUCCCCAACUCCUGACAUGUCUGAAUACCUCUGUUCUUCUUUGCCUUCUGCACUUGCUUUCUUCCUCCUCCGGCCAUUUUGGUUUUUUCGACUUCAUUCGCGUUUGGGUGCCGCUGCUGGUGCGCUCUUAGCUACACCCUUUCCUUUUAUUCUGUGUUUGAUCCUUCGGUUCAUGAAGAGUUCCUGCAUAUCGCGCGGAUCUAGGAGUUUUGCUGCAAGUUUCUCCGUCCAGUGCCAGAUCUAGGAGCACUCUCAUCUCCUCCUUGGUGUCGCAGGCAAACAAGAAUCUAGAUUCGUUCUGUAGGUUUGUAGGAUCCUCAACUGCCACUGAUAUUCCAAGUGUGAAAAUGUUGACAAGUUAUGCAUUCUCUUGUCUUGCUGAUCAUAUGUAUGGCCUGCCAUGGAAGGCUUCUUGUCCCAAUGAUGACCUUGCACAUGUCCUGCAAUUUACUCAGGUGACCAUUUGCAUGUGUUCUGCAAUUUACUCCAGUUUCAUGUGAUGUGGUCUUGCGUCUUUUCCAGAUUAUAUUUAUCUGUUCAUUAGUAGGUAAUUAGAUUUAUUUAUUAGUAUUUUAUUUCUUCCAAAAUACCUACCUACCAAAUCUGGUAGGGAUCCUAACUUCUUGGUAAGUUUCCAUAUCAACAACCAUUAGAUCAUCAAAUUCAGAUUUCAUUACUCUUGCAUGAUCUUUAACUUAACUAUAGUGCUCAUACUUUGUUCAUUAUACCAUUACAGGCCACAAUUUCACUUUCAAAGAUGGCCAUGUAAACAACUAGCCAAUAACAUUAAAGUUGGUCAAUUGCUACCAUCAUUUACUUGCCACACAUAAGGAAAUGCAUGCAGUUUAGAGCCGCCACAUCCCUUUUAGUUCAGGUCCUGAUUCCUUCCAUGAUAACCUUAGUCCUUAGCAAAUGCUAUGGAGUCUACAUGGUUCAGAUUUGAGUCUGCAUUAUUUAAUCACUUUAUGGCAUUACCUUACCAGCUGCUUCACCAGCCACUGAAUUAUGGAACAGCAUCCAGUUGUUAAUCUAUCUUGUUUUGAUGGUACGUUUACCAUAGUUCUUAAGGCGUCGCCUCGUCGUCGCCUAGGCGUCGCCUAGUCGUCGCCUCGUCGUCGCCUAGGCGUCGCCUAGUCGUCGCCUAGGCGAUGAGGCGCUCCAAGGCUCCAAGGCGUCCUGGACGCCUUGCCUAAUUCAUGUCAGGAAGGGAUGGAGGGAGGGAGAAGGGAGAAAGAGGACGAAAACCGAUCAGCGAUAGCAAGAUGAUGUUGUACCUGCCAUCUCCGACAGUGCUGCGCCUGGGCAGCACCGCCUCCGCGCCGUCCGGCAGGGAGGAGGAGCGGCGGCGCCAUAGCUCCAUCUGGGGGUGGCCGCGGCAGGGAGGAGCGGGGGCACUGGUGCUCCAUCUGGGGGUGGCCGCGGCAGGGAGGAGGACUAGCGGCGCUGGUGCUCCGUUGGGGUGGCCGCGAAGGGAGGAGCGGGCGAGUGGCGGCGCACAACGAGAUAGGGUAGGGGGGAGCGGGUGGGCUGACGGGAGGAGAUGAGUAGUUUGUGGGCUGGUAGUGAUUUGGUGGGCUGGGCCUUACAUUCUUCCUGGGCCUUUUCUCUUUUCUUUCUUCUUUUCUCAUUUCUUUUCCCCUUUAUACUGCUAAUUAUACUGCUAAUAUUCUGCUUUUACGUUGGUGUAUGGCGUCGCCUCGCCUCGCCUAGGCGUCGCCUAGGCGUCCAGAGGAGGUAGGGCGCCACACCUCGCCUCAACGCCUUAAGAACAUUGACGUUUACACAAAUCAACUAGCUACACCAACUUCUUAUACAUUUCCAUACUAUGCUAACAUAAUUUUUCCACGUACUAACUUCCUGCAGGGGAUGCCUCUCUAACACCAGAGAAAAAAAAACAGAAAUUAAGCUUCUGUAUGCUACCUAAACUAACAUCUUUUCUUUGUUGAGCAUCAUUUUCUGCAGGAUGAAACAAGCUGACAGGAGCAGUCAUCUGUGGAAUCAGAUUUCGUCCAUUUUGUACAUUAUGUAGGCACCUCCUUAAAAUACCAUCGAGGACCGCAUAUUCAGCAACUUAGCUUACCAUGUAACCAUCAUUUCCUUUAGUGUGCCUGCUGAUGUUAAACAUGGUUACCAGCUGCCAUGACUUCUACCUGUUUGCACUUAACUUUCUAGACCUUGUGCUAUAUAUAACCUUAUUUCCUAUUCUAUCUUCUUGUAGUAGUACCUGUGUGGUUUAUGUCAUUUACGGUCAAUGAGCUGAUGAACCUUAUGUA